GACGAACGCUGGCGGCGUGCUUAACACAUGCAAGUCGAACGGAAAGGCCCUGCUUUUGUGGGGUGCUCGAGUGGCGAACGGGUGAGUAACACGUGAGUAACCUGCCCUUGACUUUGGGAUAACUUCAGGAAACUGGGGCUAAUACCGGAUAGGAUCUCCUGCUGCAUGGUGGGGGUUGGAAAGUUUCGGCGGUUGGGGAUGGACUCGCGGCUUAUCAGCUUGUUGGUGGGGUAGUGGCUUACCAAGGCUUUGACGGGUAGCCGGCCUGAGAGGGUGACCGGCCACAAUGGGACUGAGAGACGGACCAGAAUGGUACGGGAGGCAGCAGGGGGGAAUAUUGCGCAAUGGGGGGGAGCCUGAUGCAGCAACGCCGCGUGCGGGAUGACGGCCUUCGGGUUGUAAACCGAUUUCGCCUGUGACGAAGCGUGAGUGACGGUAAUGGGUAAAGAAGCACCGGCUAACUACGUG
This 468-nucleotide ribosomal RNA is filed under the name uncultured bacterium. RNAcentral describes it as "partial 16S ribosomal RNA". It matches the Rfam family "Bacterial small subunit ribosomal RNA", at positions 28 to 507 of the family's 1533-position model. The record is from RNAcentral.